RNAcentral lists this ribosomal RNA (274 nucleotides) under uncultured bacterium. Its description in RNAcentral is "partial 16S ribosomal RNA". It matches the Rfam family "Bacterial small subunit ribosomal RNA", at positions 523 to 796 of the family's 1533-position model. The record is from RNAcentral.
AUACGGAGGGUGCAAGCGUUACUCGGAAUCACUGGGCGUAAAGGGCGCGCAGGCGGUUUGGUAAGUCAGAUGUGAAAGCCCACGGCUCAACCGUGGAAGUGCAUUUGAAACUGUCAGACUUGAGUACCAGAGGGGAAAGUGGAAUUCCCGGUGUAGAGGUGAAAUUCGUAGAUAUCGGGAGGAAUACCGGUGGCGAAGGCGACUUUCUGGCUGGAUACUGACGCUGAGGCGCGAAAGCGUGGGGAGCAAACAGGAGUAGAUACCCCAGUAGUCC